UACGUAGGUGGCAAGCGUUGUCCGGAAUUAUUGGGCGUAAAGCGCGCGCAGGCGGCCUCUUAAGUCUGAUGUGAAAUCUUGCGGCUCAACCGCAAGCGGCCAUUGGAAACUGGGGGGCUUGAGUACAGAAGAGGAGAGUGGAAUUCCACGUGUAGCGGUGAAAUGCGUAGAUAUGUGGAGGAACACCAGUGGCGAAGGCGACUCUCUGGUCUGUAACUGACGCUGAGACGCGAAAGCGUGGGGAGCAAACAGG
Molecule: ribosomal RNA, 253 nt
Filed under: uncultured bacterium
Lineage: Bacteria
Description: partial 16S ribosomal RNA
Rfam family: Bacterial small subunit ribosomal RNA
Source: RNAcentral